Molecule: ribosomal RNA, 94 nt
Filed under: Thalassiosira oceanica
Lineage: Eukaryota; Bacillariophyta; Thalassiosirophyceae; Thalassiosirales; Thalassiosiraceae
Description: partial Eukaryotic small subunit ribosomal RNA
Source: RNAcentral
GGCUUGCAUGUUUCCUCCUGCAUUGUCUUUUCUUCGCCUCACCCGGAUUUCCUUACUUGACUAUCAUGUUCAUUCAGGAGAGAUGUUGGAGGAC